GCACCGUGACCUAUUCACCGUCCACUUCCUGUCUCAGAAUUUAAACGGGGUCACCAUCGCGUAGAGAAGCAGGCCCUGCCCACCCACUGCGGGGAGUGCCACCCACAGGUGACACGCGCUCUCCACCACCCCACCAAAACCACCACAUGAAUUGGCAACAUGGGAGGAGAAAAGAACCAGAACUUACCAGGCUCUGCUUUUUUUCUUAAAAAUACUUUAAAAGGAAAA
This 228-nucleotide long non-coding RNA is filed under the name Rattus norvegicus (Norway rat). RNAcentral describes it as "long non-coding RNA NONRATT022212". Lineage: Eukaryota; Metazoa; Chordata; Mammalia; Rodentia; Muridae. The record is from RNAcentral.